This 78-nucleotide transfer RNA is filed under the name Mesotoga prima. Its description in RNAcentral is "tRNA-Asp". It matches the Rfam family "tRNA". From Rfam's summary of the family: Transfer RNA (tRNA) molecules are approximately 80 nucleotides in length. Their secondary structure includes four short double-helical elements and three loops (D, anti-codon, and T loops). Further hydrogen bonds mediate the characteristic L-shaped molecular structure. tRNAs have two regions of fundamental functional importance: the anti-codon, which is responsible for specific mRNA codon recognition, and the 3' end, to which the tRNAs corresponding amino acid is attached (by aminoacyl-tRNA synthetases). tRNAs cope with the degeneracy of the genetic code in two manners: having more than one tRNA (with a specific anti-codon) for a particular amino acid; and 'wobble' base-pairing, i.e. permitting non-standard base-pairing at the 3rd anti-codon position. Lineage: Bacteria; Thermotogati; Thermotogota; Thermotogae; Kosmotogales; Kosmotogaceae. The record is from RNAcentral. RNAcentral also lists the same sequence under 6 other names.
GGGGACGUGGUGAAGCUUGGUUAUCAUGCCGGUCUGUCACACCGGUGGCCGCGAGUUCAAGUCUCGUCGUCCCCGCCA